This 69-nucleotide transfer RNA is filed under the name Desmodus rotundus (common vampire bat). RNAcentral's name for it is "tRNA-Ala". It matches the Rfam family "tRNA". From Rfam's summary of the family: Transfer RNA (tRNA) molecules are approximately 80 nucleotides in length. Lineage: Eukaryota; Metazoa; Chordata; Mammalia; Chiroptera; Phyllostomidae. The record is from RNAcentral.
AGGGGCUUAGCUUAAGGAGAGCGGUUGAUUUGCGUUCAGAAGAUGCAGGGCGAGGUCUUGCAGUCCCUA